UGGGGAAUUUUGGACAAUGGGCGCAAGCCUGAUCCAGCCAUGCCGCGUGCGGGAAGAAGGCCUUCGGGUUGUAAACCGCUUUUGUCAGGGAAGAAAUCUUCUGAGUUAAUACCUCAGGAGGAUGACGUACCUGAAGAAUAAGCACCGGCUAACUACGUGCCGGCAGCCGCGGUAAUACGUAGGGUGCAAGCGUUAAUCGGAAUUACUGGGCGUAAAGCGUGCGCAGGCGGUUUUGUAAGACAGAGGUGAAAUCCCCGGGCUCAACCUGGGAACUGCCUUUGUGACUGCAAGGCUUGAGUGCGGCAGAGGGGGAUGGAAUUCCGCGUGUAGCAGUGAAAUGCGUAGAUAUGCGGAGGAACACCGAUGGCGAAGGCAAUCCCCUGGGCCUGCACUGACGCUCAUGCACGAAAGCGUGGGGAGCAAACAGGAUUAGAUACCCUGGUAGUCCACGCCCUAAACGAUGUCAACUGGUUGUUGGGAAGGUUCCUUCUCAGUAACGUAGCUAACGCGUGAAGUUGACCGCCUGGGGAGUACGGCCGCAAGGUUGAAACUCAAAUGAAUUGACGGGGUCAUAGCUGUUUCCUG
Molecule: ribosomal RNA, 585 nt
Filed under: uncultured bacterium
Lineage: Bacteria
Description: partial 16S ribosomal RNA
Rfam family: Bacterial small subunit ribosomal RNA
Source: RNAcentral